CCAAAUCAAACAUUUAUAAUAUAUAAUAUUAUAAAUAUGUGGUGUGAACGUGAGUAAAAAAUAGAUAUAUAAGAACUAUAAAUAAAGUUAAAUGCUUUAUAAUAUAUAUAUAUAUAAAUUAUAUAUAUAUAUAAAAGAAUAUAUUAUUAUAUAUAUUUGUUUAUAGUCUAAUCUAUAAUGGUUUAGAUAGUAGGUAUAUUAAUAGUUAUACCUAGUCUACGAUCCAUAAUCAAUAAUUAAUGUUAUAAUGAUCACGUUGAUAAUUAAAUAUAAUCAAUAUCUAUAUGAUACAGCAGUGGGGAAUAUUGAACAAUGAUCGUAAGAUUGAUUCAGUAACUUAUAAGAAUGAAUGAGAUAUAAUAAUAAUAUAAAUAUAUAAAUAAAUAUAUUUUAUAUAUAUAUAUAUAUAUCAAUUCGAUUCAAAAAUAAAGUUCAUAACUAAUAAAAAUAAUGAUAUAAAUUAAUUUAAAUAUUAAAUUUUAAAUAUAAUAUAAUUUUAUUAUAUUAUUUUAAUAAUCCUUGCUAAUAUUUGUGCCAGCAGUAGCGGUAAUACAAAGAGGGUAAGCAUUAAUCAUAAC
Molecule: ribosomal RNA, 578 nt
Filed under: Naumovozyma dairenensis
Lineage: Eukaryota; Fungi; Ascomycota; Saccharomycetes; Saccharomycetales; Saccharomycetaceae
Description: partial small subunit ribosomal RNA
Source: RNAcentral